UUUAUGGAGAGUUUGAUCCUGGCUCAGAACGAACGCUGGCGGCGUGCCUGAGACAUGCAAGUCGUGGGAGAAAGUCGGGGCAACUCGGCGAGUAAACCGGCGCACGGGUGAGUAACACGUGGAUAACCUGCCUUGAAGUCCGGGAUAACCCGUCGAAAGACGGGCUAAUACCAGAUAAGACCACGAGGAGUUCGCUCUUCGCGGUAAAAGGUGGCCUCUGCUCAUGCAAGCUAUCACUUCGAGAGGGGUCCGCGCCCUAUCAGCUAGUUGGUGAGGUAAUGGCUCACCAAGGCUGAGACGGGUAGCUGGUCUGAGAGGAUGGUCAGCCACACUGGGACUGAGACACGGCCCAGAGUCCUACGGGAUGCAGCAGUCAGGAAUAUUGCGCAAUGGAGGAAACUCUGACGCAGCGACGCCGCGUGGGUGAUGAAGGCCUUCGGGU
RNAcentral lists this ribosomal RNA (442 nucleotides) under Deltaproteobacteria bacterium. RNAcentral's name for it is "bacterial SSU rRNA". It matches the Rfam family "Bacterial small subunit ribosomal RNA", at positions 1 to 423 of the family's 1533-position model. Lineage: Bacteria; Pseudomonadati; Myxococcota; Myxococcia. The record is from RNAcentral.